CCUUCGGAGUGUCAAACAAACGAGAGUAGCUUCGGCAAAAUCGGACACGAUGAACAAGGAA
Non-coding RNA from Anoxybacillus ayderensis, 61 nucleotides. Lineage: Bacteria; Bacillati; Bacillota; Bacilli; Caryophanales; Anoxybacillaceae. The record is from Rfam.